Molecule: ribosomal RNA, 388 nt
Filed under: uncultured bacterium
Lineage: Bacteria
Description: bacterial SSU rRNA
Rfam family: Bacterial small subunit ribosomal RNA
Source: RNAcentral
AGAGUUUGAUCCUGGCUCAGGACGAACGCUGGCGGCGUGCCUAACACAUGCAAGUCACGGGGGCCCGCAAGGGUAACCGGCGAACGGGUGCGUAACACGUGAGCAAUCUGCCGAUUUCUGGGGGAUAGCCGGUCCAACGACCGGGUAAUACCGCAUACGCUCAUUGGGGGGCAUUCCCCGAUGAGGAAACCUCCGGGGGAAAUCGAGGAGCUCGCGGCCUAUCAGCUAGUUGGUGCGGUAACGGCGCACCAAGGCGACGACGGGUAGCUGGUCUGAGAGGAUGGCCAGCCACAUUGGGACUGCGACACGGCCCAGACUCCUACGGGAGGCAGCAGUGGGGAAUAUUGCGCAAUGGACGAAAGUCUGACGCAGCGACGCCGCGUGUGGG